CAAGAGUUUGAUCAUGGCUCAGGACGAACGCUGGCGGCGUGCUUAACACAUGCAAGUCGAACGAGAGGACAUGGGAAGCUUGCUUCCUAUGAAAUCGAGUGGCAAACGGGUGAGUAACGCGUAAACAACCUGCCCUUCGGAUGGGGAUAACAGCCGGAAACGGCUGCUAAUACCGAAUACGAUCUUUUCGUCGCAUGACGGAAAGAAGAAAGGAUGGCCUCUAUACAAAGCUAUCGCCGAAGGAGGGGUUUGCGUCUGAUUAGCUGGUUGGAGGGGUAACGGCCCAACAAGGCGAUGAUCAGUAGCCGGUCUGAGAGGAUGAACGGCCACAUUGGGACUGAGACACGGCCCAGACUCCUACGGGAGGCAGCA
This 372-nucleotide ribosomal RNA is filed under the name uncultured bacterium. Its description in RNAcentral is "bacterial SSU rRNA". It matches the Rfam family "Bacterial small subunit ribosomal RNA", at positions 1 to 353 of the family's 1533-position model. The record is from RNAcentral.